AUUGCCACUCGACCCACAAAACCUUGAGGAAACAAAAUGGCC
This 42-nucleotide ribosomal RNA is filed under the name uncultured Russulaceae. Its description in RNAcentral is "partial 28S ribosomal RNA". The record is from RNAcentral. Lineage: Eukaryota; Fungi; Basidiomycota; Agaricomycetes; Russulales; Russulaceae.